ACAGCCACGCAGCCACGAAACCCGGGAGGGGGGUGGUGGAGAGCGGUAACGUGCUCCUCUCUUGCCUGUCAUUGCAGAGAUAUGGCCCAAAGCUGGGGAGUCGAGAAAGAUGUCUGACCACCCUUAUGGAGGCAGCAGUGACCAAAGGAACUAAAACAGACAUGGUUAAAAUGGUGCCAGGACAAUUGGAUAGCCCAGUAUCAAGAAAAAAACUCCCUGACUGAUACUUCACACUACAGUGAUUUCCAGAUGGAUUUCAGAUCUAAAGCUUUUACAAGUAAGCCUAGAAAGCUAUCUUCGUUACCUCCAAGGAGGCAAAGAUUUCUAAAAUGGACCUGAAAACACUAACCAUGAAGGAGAAAAUUGAACUGAAGAAAUGAGUACGUACAUUGGGGAUGUUGGGAGUGAGGUUUCCGUCGGUGAAGGAAGAUACUUCUGUGGAACAGAAGAAGGCUGGGAAGAGCCAGUGGUCCUGGAUUAGAACUGGAACAUUGGGACGGAACCAGGGCUCCCUGAAGAAAGGACCAAUUCCAGGGUAGGGCAGAGAGAGUACAAGACAGCCUGAAACAUCUAGUAAGUACGUCCGUGGUGUGCACUCAGCAACUCAGGGGCCUCAGAUGCAGGAUCAACUCCUCUCCAGCCGUUUCUGUCUCUAGGCCUUCGCGAUCCAGUCCUUUGUGCUGAAGAGCUCUUCAAGGGCCCUCACCGAAAGAUGGUUGGUACCACCCCCCCAACACCUCUCGUCCUGGUGCCUCGAGGCUUCUUUCUGUUGUGCAGAGCAACAGGGCAGUUCCCUGCACCACUACCGAGGAUUUUCUUUUGCCUUCCAGAACCCAAAGACCGUACCUCUCGGUUUACUACUUCAUCCUUCUGCUCCUCUCUUGGAUUUUUCUCCACAGGCUCCUUUCUAGUUGCCUCUGCGUGGACCAUCUGUGAUAUUGUAGGUCACGUAAAAGAAGCUGUACGUCUGCGCUGCUUAUUUCGCAAUCUUGCGGAUCAAAUUCCUGACACUGAAGCUUUACCUUGCGAGACUUUCUCUGAGAGGCUGUCAGCACUUUCCUCCCUAUCUUUUUCUCAGGAUGUGUUCUCUGCAGAGCUCCAUCAUUUUUACGUGCAUGACUCCAAUUACUUUUCAUUGAACCCUUGACAUUUCAUUCCAGAUUAAAGACUAAAACAUGAAAACUAAAUGCAAUGCCUUGUUCCAGGUGAGACCCUGGACCCCUGGUGAAAUCUAAGAAAGGUCUACAAAUUAUACUUGUGCAUCAGUCAGUAUUAACACCCCGAUUUUGAUAGUUGUGCUGUGGUGAGCUGAAGGACCAGCCUUGCUCUGAAGACACACAUACUCAGGUAUUGAGAGGGAAGGACAAAAGGCAACAAUGCCAUCAACUUACUCUCAAAUGGUUUGAAAAAAUGUUAAGAAUUGGUGAAUCUGGCUGAAAGAUACAUGGGAUUUCUUUGUAUAAGUCUUCUGAGGUUAUCUCAAAAUAAAAAGCUACAAAAAAAGAACAGGAGAAAAUUAAAGAUGUUCCUCACACUAAUGAAGGCCGAUAGAAAUAUGUCCUUGCAGAAAGAGCUGCUAACGGGUGUAUUUCAGGAACAAGGUGGUUAAAUCCAAAAGAAAGGAAUGGGGAUGUGAAAAGACGUGCAAGCAAAGAAACGGAUAAAUAUAUUGAUAAAGCAAACAAGCACUGUUAAUAAUAGUGACUAAUGCUCAAUAACAGUAAUCAUCAGAGAAAUGAAAAUCAAACCCAUAAUGAAAUUCUACCUCACACCCAUUAGGAUGGCCACUAUUGAGGGGCACCUGGGUGGCUCAGUCAGUAAAGCAUCUGACUUUGGCUCAGGUCAUGAUCUCACGGUUGGUGAGUUUGAACCCUGUGUCAGGCUCUGUGCUGACAGUGUGGAGCCCGGAGCCUACUUCAGAUUCUGUGUCUCCCCCUGUCUCUGCUCCUCCCCUGCUUGUGCUCUGUCUUUCUCUCUCUCAAAAAUAAAUAACCAGUUAAAAAAUUUAAACAAGGACGGCCCCUAUUCAAAAAAAUAAAAAGAAAGAAAGAAAGAAACAGAAAACAGGGAAGGUCUGAGUCAGUUGAGCAUCAGAUGCUCAGUCAGUUGAGCAUCCAACUCUUGGUUUCAGCUCAGGUCAUGAUCUCACAGUUGAUGAGUUUGAACCCUGCGUCAGGUCUGUGCUCUGUGCUCUCUCUCUCUCUCU
Molecule: long non-coding RNA, 2206 nt
Organism: Panthera uncia (snow leopard)
Lineage: Eukaryota; Metazoa; Chordata; Mammalia; Carnivora; Felidae
Exons: 4
Source: RefSeq, a predicted model, not a curated record